This is a long non-coding RNA of Drosophila subobscura, 710 nucleotides long. RefSeq lists it as uncharacterized. NCBI's taxonomy places the organism in Eukaryota, Metazoa, Arthropoda, Insecta, Diptera, Drosophilidae. The record is from RefSeq and is a predicted model, not a curated record. The transcript has 3 exons.
CUCCACCUUAGUCAGUCUCUGGCGAUCGAACGGUGCACACCUGUGUUAGCGGUGUGUUUUUGGUAAGACAGCGUCGAAGCUGUAAAACGGCGACGGUGAAGUAGAAGACGCGCGAAAGAAGAAAGAAAGAAGCGACACAGCAACAACACAAAUUGAAGAAGCCACUCUGCCGGGCAGCUACAUAUUUACGCGUGUGUGUGUGUUAGUGUGUGCGUGCUUAAAUCUAUGAAAAGUGAAUAACUAAAACGAGCUCAAAGCUACAAAAGUGUGUGCGUAAAAGAAAACAACAACCACAACAACAAAAUAGAGUGUUUUCUUUAUCUCUAGAAGAAGCAGCCGCAAAAGUUUUGUGUUUUGGGUGAAAUUUGUUCCAUUAGUAACGUUGCUUAUGUGCAAAAACUAAUUGAAAAUAUCGUGCAAUAGAAAGAGAAAUAAAAAAGGAAAAGGAAAACAAUAAUCAGAAAACAUCAAUCGCAAAAAGCUGGUGAAUUGGCGAAUCACAUGAUUAAUGGCAGUGUUUUGAGCAUAAAUCUGCAUGAGGAGAGCAGCAAAAUGCCACCACAAACUACAAUUCAACAAUAAAACAAUCUGAAAAAAAAAACACAUAAACAAACCACACAGAGAGAUUGAAAACCCGCAAAGUGUGGCACAGAGGAGUUGCAGGAGAAGAAAAAGGAGGAGCCAUUGGAUUUAUGCAAAAAGGCGACGAA